AUUAAACGCUGGCGGCAUGCCUUACACAUGCAAGUCGAACGGCAGCACGGGGGCAACCCUGGUGGCGAGUGGCGAACGGGUGAGUAAAGCAUCGGAACGUGCCCUGGAGUGGGGGAUAACGUAGCGAAAGUUACGCUAAUACCGCAUAUUCUGUGAGCAGGAAAGCAGGGGAUCGCAAGACCUUGCGCUCUGGGAGCGGCCGAUGUCGGAUUAGCUAGUUGGUGGGGUAAAGGCUCACCAAGGCGACGAUCCGUAGCGGGUCUGAGAGGAUGAUCCGCCACACUGGGACUGAGACACGGCCCAGACUCUUACGGGAGGCAGCAGUGGGGAAUUUUGGACAAUGGGCGCAAGCCUGAUCCAGCCAUGCCGCGUGAGUGAAGAAGGCCU
This 387-nucleotide ribosomal RNA is filed under the name uncultured bacterium. Its description in RNAcentral is "bacterial SSU rRNA". It matches the Rfam family "Bacterial small subunit ribosomal RNA", at positions 29 to 417 of the family's 1533-position model. The record is from RNAcentral.